UACAGAGGUCUCAACCGUUGUUCGGAUUCAUUGGGCGUAAAGGGUGCGUAGGCGGUCGCGCAAGUCGGAUGUGAAAUCUCAGGGCUCAACCCUGAAACUGCAUUCGAUACUGCGUGGCUAGAGUGCUGGAGAGGAGACUGGAAUUUACGGUGUGGCAGUGAAAUGCGUAGAUAUCGUAAGGAAGACCAGUGGCGAAGGCGAGUCUCUGGACAGCAACUGACGCUGAGGCACGAAGGCCAGGGGAGCAAACGGG
Molecule: ribosomal RNA, 253 nt
Filed under: uncultured bacterium
Lineage: Bacteria
Description: partial 16S ribosomal RNA
Rfam family: Bacterial small subunit ribosomal RNA
Source: RNAcentral